Long non-coding RNA from Phycodurus eques (leafy seadragon), 2180 nucleotides. RefSeq lists it as uncharacterized. The record is from RefSeq and is a predicted model, not a curated record. Lineage: Eukaryota; Metazoa; Chordata; Actinopteri; Syngnathiformes; Syngnathidae. The transcript is spliced from 5 exons.
ACAGCAGCACGUUGUAAAUUCUUUCCUUCACGUCUUCGGUCAGGACGUCCAAGCGGCCUGACCAGGCGCACAGCGCGGCCUGACGUCACAAGCGCAUUUUGAAUACAUCGUACCUGUAAAAAAAAUCUGUGAUUUCCUCAGGUGCGCAUACCUGGUACUCUUUCUCUCUCAUCUCAUUGGCUACUUGCUCGGUGAAUUUCACUUCCGGUGCAGGCGUUGGCUUCUGGGGGGCGGAACUACUGUGACUGAACCAGUCGGUGAAGGCUUCGUGGGCUUCCUGGAAGAACAUUUCAUCUUUCAUAAAAACUAAGUUCUCCAGGAAACUUCAACCGGGAGUGACAAACUUUGCCUCGCAUCUGGAGACGUGUGGUGCGAGAGAGCGAGGACUAAAGUCAUUGAUUACGGCAGACACCGACCAGAAAUCUUCUCAUGAUUGCGUUGGACUGCUUCAGGGCUUCAGCCCGGUGGGCGGCGUCAAACAAAAGCCAGUCGAUCACGUCGAUCUUCUUCUGGUCGUCCUAGUCUGCCUGUGGUGCGUGAACUCGGCGUCUUCUCGCUCUCUCACCGUCUCCACCACCAGUUUGGUAACAGCAGCCACAUCCAAACCUAUACAAACAAAAUGACUCCAAAUGUGCCCGUCUCCCCGCUGGCUGUUUAAAAUCCAGUUUCCGCUCUUACCGGCCUCCGUGGCGAGCUGCAAGCAGCGAGGACGCAACUCCGACUGGCUGACUGUCUCCAGGAAGGCGGCGUAUUGAGCCGUUGCCAGGUCGGCCGGCAGCUGGCUGACGUAGCUCGCCACCAGGUCCGUGCGCUGGUCGCGAAUGAGCGGGGUCACGUACGCCUUCAGCACAUCCACGCACACGUCCUCCUUCAACACAGACAUGUUACAAAUGACACCCACCCCCAAAAAAACCCAAAAUGUUUUGUUUUGAUGAACAAAAACAGCACUGUGUUAAAUAAACAUCACACCCUGUAGCAGUCAUCUGGAGGAUUCCGACUGCUUACCUUCAGGGCCAAACCCAAAGAGCGGAAGAAUAGCAGCAGGUGAGUCAUGAAGCGCAGCAGAUGCGAGGGGAGCGGCUUGGAUGCUGUCAGCCAAUCACCAAACUCCUCCAGAAGACCUGCAAGAAACAUCUUGCCACUUACGCGAGGUCCUCCGAGUGCUCACGGCUGAAGAGGAUGACGGGAUCUUACCGUCCAGGUCUCCCAGUAUGACAAAUUUCUGAAUGACAUGAUAGUGCUCUUGCGUCUCCUCCAGCACCCUCUGCACACACACAAACGCACGCAUCAAUCAUGUGGGUUCGGCGAUGUAACCUUCACAACAACCAAUCACAUUCAGUGAUUUACUUUUGAUUCUGACGCUUGGAGCUCCUCAAACACCUUUUCCAUAGUCCAGCUGAGGAGACAAGUGACAGCAUGAGGGACUUCCUUCGGUUGAAAAAGCUCACGACUGACUUUGUGUGUGUGUGUGUGUGUGUGUGUAUCGUACUUGGCUUCCAGGUAUUCCUGCGGCAACGUCUCCACUUCCUCGUGGGCCAUCCCCAACGACAUCAGAUGCUUUUCCACCAGCGUGUCCACCAUAACUCGGAAGUACGCCCACACGCAGUCCUCCCACGACUCACACACAGCUAGCACCUAACACACACACAGUUAGCUUAGCAUCUUAGCACACUGGAGCAAACCAGAAACGUGUGAUUGUCGCAUCUUACAGGUUUCAGAUUUCCACUCAGGCUAGCAUAGAUGGCUCGCUCAUAUCGGUUUAUCUGCUCCUGGAGAACACACACUGUGAUUGUUUGCUUCAUUCAAAAGUUGAAGACACUCAACUUUAGUGCACUUUUGGCAGUUCUUGAAAUUUCCUGCCAGUGUGUGCCCGCGUACCUCCUCGGCCAUCCUCCAGGUGCAGGCCUUCCAGAUGCCUCUUUGAGGAUUUCCUUCAACCGGCUGCAACUCUACGCUGCCUGCAGAGAGGAGACAAAUGUACUGAAGAGAGGUCAAGGACAUGACCGCGUGAGGCAGCGGGUCCACCAGGGGACGCUGCUGGCGGAGGGGAGCGUCCGGGUCCUGAAAGCAAACGUUAAACGUCACGCGCCUGGGGUCAGCUCGGGUGUCGUCAUGGCAACGGGCCUCACCAGCUCAGUGACCAGAGGGACGGCGAAGACAUUGGUGCUCUUGAUUCUCAG